RNAcentral lists this ribosomal RNA (253 nucleotides) under uncultured bacterium. RNAcentral describes it as "partial 16S ribosomal RNA". It matches the Rfam family "Bacterial small subunit ribosomal RNA", at positions 524 to 776 of the family's 1533-position model. The record is from RNAcentral.
UACGGGGGGGGUAAGCGUUGUUCGGAAUUACUGGGCGUAAAGCGAGUGUAGGUGGUUGUCCAAGUUGGAUGUGAAAGCCUUGAGCUCAACUCAAGAAAUGCAUUCAGGACUGGGCGGCUAGAGGACCGGAGAGGAUAGUGGAAUUCCCAGUGUAGUGGUGAAAUACGUAGAUAUCGGGAGGAAUACCGAUGGCGAAGGCAGGUCUCUGGGCUAUAACUGACGCUCAUGCGCGAAAGCGUGGGGAGCAAACAGG